This 171-nucleotide ribosomal RNA is filed under the name Strophostyles umbellata. Its description in RNAcentral is "5.8S ribosomal RNA". It matches the Rfam family "5.8S ribosomal RNA". Rfam says of the family: 5.8S ribosomal RNA (5.8S rRNA) is a component of the large subunit of the eukaryotic ribosome. It is transcribed by RNA polymerase I as part of the 45S precursor that also contains 18S and 28S rRNA. RNAcentral also lists the same sequence under 2 other names. Lineage: Eukaryota; Viridiplantae; Streptophyta; Magnoliopsida; Fabales; Fabaceae. The record is from RNAcentral.
AUUAUGUAAAAUGACUCUCGGCAACGGAUAUCUCGGCUCUUGCAUCGAUGAAGAACGUAGCGAAAUGCGAUACUUGGUGUGAAUUGCAGAAUCCCGUGAACCAUCGAGUCUUUGAACGCAAGUUGCGCCCAAAGCCAUUAGGUUGAGGGCACGCCUGCCUGGGUGUCACAC